Molecule: ribosomal RNA, 1444 nt
Filed under: uncultured organism
Description: SSU rRNA
Rfam family: Bacterial small subunit ribosomal RNA
Source: RNAcentral
GGCUCAGGAUGAACGCUAGCUACAGGCUUAACACAUGCAAGUCGAGGGGCAGCAUGGUCUUAGCUUGCUAAGGCCGAUGGCGACCGGCGCACGGGUGAGUAACACGUAUCCAACCUGCCGUCUACUCUUGGACAGCCUUCUGAAAGGAAGAUUAAUACAAGAUGGCAUCAUGAGUCCGCAUGUUCACAUGAUUAAAGGUAUUCCGGUAGACGAUGGGGAUGCGUUCCAUUAGAUAGUAGGCGGGGUAACGGCCCACCUAGUCUUCGAUGGAUAGGGGUUCUGAGAGGAAGGUCCCCCACAUUGGAACUGAGACACGGUCCAAACUCCUACGGGAGGCAGCAGUGAGGAAUAUUGGUCAAUGGGCGAGAGCCUGAACCAGCCAAGUAGCGUGAAGGAUGACUGCCCUAUGGGUUGUAAACUUCUUUUAUAAAGGAAUAAAGUCGGGUAUGCAUACCCGUUUGCAUGUACUUUAUGAAUAAGGAUCGGCUAACUCCGUGCCAGCAGCCGCGGUAAUACGGAGGAUCCGAGCGUUAUCCGGAUUUAUUGGGUUUAAAGGGAGCGUAGAUGGAUGUUUAAGUCAGUUGUGAAAGUUUGCGGCUCAACCGUAAAAUUGCAGUUGAUACUGGAUAUCUUGAGUGCAGUUGAGGCAGGCGGAAUUCGUGGUGUAGCGGUGAAAUGCUUAGAUAUCACGAAGAACUCCGAUUGCGAAGGCAGCCUGCUAAGCUGCAACUGACAUUGAGGCUCGAAAGUGUGGGUAUCAAACAGGAUUAGAUACCCUGGUAGUCCACACGGUAAACGAUGAAUACUCGCUGUUUGCGAUAUACAGCAAGCGGCCAAGCGAAAGCGUUAAGUAUUCCACCUGGGGAGUACGCCGGCAACGGUGAAACUCAAAGGAAUUGACGGGGGCCCGCACAAGCGGAGGAACAUGUGGUUUAAUUCGAUGAUACGCGAGGAACCUUACCCGGGCUUAAAUUGCAGAUGAAUUACGGUGAAAGCCGUAAGCCGCAAGGCAUCUGUGAAGGUGCUGCAUGGUUGUCGUCAGCUCGUGCCGUGAGGUGUCGGCUUAAGUGCCAUAACGAGCGCAACCCUUGUUGUCAGUUACUAACAGGUUCUGCUGAGGACUCUGACAAGACUGCCAUCGUAAGAUGUGAGGAAGGUGGGGAUGACGUCAAAUCAGCACGGCCCUUACGUCCGGGGCUACACACGUGUUACAAUGGGGGGUACAGAGGGCCGCUACCACGCGAGUGGAUGCCAAUCCCAAAAACCUCUCUCAGUUCGGACUGGAGUCUGCAACCCGACUCCACGAAGCUGGAUUCGCUAGUAAUCGCGCAUCAGCCACGGCGCGGUGAAUACGUUCCCGGGCCUUGUACACACCGCCCGUCAAGCCAUGGGAGCCGGGGGUACCUGAAGUGCGUAACCGCGAGGAGCGCCCUAGGGUAAAACU